CUCGGAGCAACUUACUGGCUUCUGGUGGAGGUUGCAAUGAUCAUUGCGUUAAGUUUUGGAACACUGUUAAUGGUGCUUGCUUGAACUCGAUUGAUGCUGGCUCUGAAGUUUGUGCAUUGCUAUGGGACAAAAACAAAUCUGAUUUACUGACCUUCCAUGGUUUGUCGAACAAUCAACUCACCUUGUGGAAUUACCCAUCCAUGACGAGAGUGGCUGAGGUUUCCAGUCAUUCAUCCCGGGUUCUUUCCUUGGCUGGGAGCCCAUUGGGAGGUAUAGUAGCUUCUGCAGCAGUAGAUGAGACAGUCAGGUUUUGGAAUAUCUUUGAGACUCCCAAAAUAAUAAAACCUGAACUGCCCUUUGCCCAAUUUAAUGUCAUAAGAUGAAAAGGCAGAUAGGUGGAAAUGAUUAAGAUUCCAAAUGGAAGACUUCUCUAGUGCUUGACAUGAAGAUCUGUUGUUGGUAGCAUUGCAAUGGGAAGUUUCGUGGUGUCAAAGAGGCAGCACAUUUUCAUACAAGCGUAUAGAUUUGAGAUCUUCAAAUACGAGCGCCACUGCCUAAGGUAAGUUAGAAGCCUUACAGCCUUUUACAGCAUUUUAGUAGGCUUAUUUACAACAUGACUGUCAUUGCAGCUACGAGGCUGAUUUUUGUUUCCUAUUUAUUGUUUAUCAUUUCAUAAUUAUUGAUAUGAUUAUUGCCCAAUUGAUGAAACAUGUGGUCUAUAAUUAUUGCCCAAUUGUUAUAAUCUAAUUAUGUGGUUUAAAGAGAUUUCAAUUUACGUUUCUUUUUUGUAAGUUACUAUCUUUGUCUCAUUUUUGUUUGAGAAUUUUUGCGUAGACUAUAUAUUUUGUUGUGUAUGCUAAUCAUGCAUAAUUAGAUCAAACUGAUAGAUGCUUAUUUUUUUUUCUUUUUUGAGUUGAGAUUUCUUAUGAUAUUCAAUAUGGCCUUAGUAUGACAUGAAGACAUCACAUUGCACACCUAGAAGAGUGUUUGACAAUCGAGAGAUCUAUGCAUUAUAAGAGGUAAUUGCCUAUGGUCUUAUGUUUCUAUUUUUCUUUCCGACUAUAGGUUUCCUAUGAUACAAGUUAAACUUAAGAAUUUUAUAUUCUUUUAGGACUAUAAAGAAACUUUGAAGAUUGAACUAUGUAGCUCUAUUGCCAGAACAAAGCACUUGCAAUAUGGCCUUGAGUAUCACACGAAGAUAUCAGAUUGCCAAAACAAACUUUGAAGAUUGAACCGUAUAACAAACUUCAGAUUUCCUUUUUCAUUUUUAUUUGAGUUGAGAUUUCUUAUAACAUUCAAUAUGGCUUUGUUAUCACAUGAAGAAAUCACAUUGCAUAUCUAGAAGUGUGUUUGACAAUCGUGAGGUCUAUGCAUUAUAAGAGGUAAUUGCUUAUGGCCCUAUGCUUAGUUUUUCUUUUCUAACUAUAGGUUUCCUAUGAUAUAAGUUGAACUUCUGAAUUUUAUAUUCUUUUAGGACCAUUAAGAAACUUUGAAGAUUGAAUUGUGUUGCUUUAUUGUCAGACCAAAGUACUUUCACAUGAUGAAUUUAAAAUCUUGCUAUGGUGUUUUUGCUAAAUCUUUAUUCACAGAUAUAAGGAUAUUAAAGCAUCUUUAGAUUUGCUUAGAGGGUGAAAAUAUGGAAACUUAUGGUAUUGCACAACUAUAAUCAUAUUCAACAACUAAGAGAUCUAUGCAUAAUUUUGAUCUAAGAUGUAACUUCUUAUGUCUUUAUUUUUUGGGUGACUAAAGGUUCUUAAUGUUUCAUUUUAUAAUGAAGAAUAAAUUAUCUUCACUUCUCCCAUGUUCAAUUUUAUCUUCACUUGUUAAGCUUUGUUCUGUACUGAUCAUGUAAUUUAUAGGUGGAUGCAACUUUGUUGUCCUUAAAUCAGAACAUCAAUUAGUUGUAUAUGGAAUGACUUUUUGUGCUGUACUUCACAAUUUGUUACUCUAUGGUUUUAUGUGUACUGUUGCAACACAUAGUUUAUAAAUGUUAAGGACAUUUCAAGAUUGCCAUCGUUAAGGAUUUGCUAUCACUGAGCUGAGUGGGAGGACAUGAAUUUUAGUCGUUAAACCAAAUAUUUAGUUUCUUAAGGCUAACUUAUAUCUGUUCAUUUAUUGUCUUUAUUGUAAUUACUGUCAAUAUCUGCUGCUUUUUUUUUUCCUUUCACUGGCUUGAUUUAAAGCUCAUCUCGUAUGAUCUGAUUGAAAAUCAAUUUUUGACCGAGCACACUGAACUCCUGAGUUCCAACUGAAAUCUUUGGACACCUAACUGUUUUUUUUUUAUCUGAUCAAAUUUGAGGGUGGUUUUUUUAACUGUUUUAGCCUUAAGAUUUUUUUAUGUUCUUUUAGGACUAUUCUAGAACCUGUGAAAACUUUUAUUUGGUAUAGACUUAUUUCACUACGGAGUAAUUCAUUUCACUUGAAAUAGUGUUUUUGUUUUAUGUUUAUUUGCAUAUACAAAGAUACUAAAACAUCUCAGGAUUUUGUUUAGAGGGUGAAAAAAUUUGAAAAAUUAUGGAGUUACAAAACUAGAAUUGUGUCUGGCAAUCAAAAGACUAUUGAUCAACCACUCAGAUAUUGUUCAAAAAAUUGUUCAUGAAAUCCAUAAUUUUCAAUUUAAAAAUUUUCAAAAAUAAAGAUAAGUUCAAAAGUGAAAUCCAAGCCUAAAAUUUUCUAUUUUUAGUAAGAUGUGUCAUAAUUUCUGUAGAAAGCAAUUAUUCAACCUAAGAGAACUGCAAACCAUAGUAUAUACCAUAAUAGUAAAGAGAUACCAAACAAAUAAAUCUAUGAGCUUGAUAAAGGUGAGGCAUUGUAAUUCUGUUUAUUAUGUUUUUCCCUGUGAAAUGAACAAAAUAUCAAAUUUAUAUGUCUUUCUAUGAAUAGAUUAGGUCUUCUGCAACAUAGAUACACUUUUGAUCCUAAGAUAGAGCUUGAAAAAUGAUGUCAAAUGGGAUAUAAUGCAGGUUUUAAAUUUUGGAAGUUAGCUUACCAGACCAACAAUUCACAAAUGCUUCAUUAUAGUGACAGUGGAGUAGUUCGGGUCCUUCCGAUUAAUAGGAUCUUCAUUAAAGGUUCCGAUUUGUAAUUAUUUCAGUCUAUGAGAUCUAUCUUGCUGAAUCAGCUAUAGUUGUAGCAGAGUGGUAGCAAUGUUCAUGAGCUUGAUAGACAAGCUUGCUAUGUUUCAUAUAAAUGUUCACCAAUUAAUGACAUGGCUACUAUUUCAGUAUUUUUUCAAUUUUAUUGUUGUGGUCAUUUACCACAAGUUUCAGCAUCCAAGCACUAUAUCUGAAAUUUGUCUUGUGUAAGUAUAACACCGACCUUUGAGUUGGUAUUUCUUGUUUUCAACUUCCCUAUUUGUUUACUGAGAUUAAGGUAGCAGCAGCGGUUGUGAUUAUUUAUUGCGAUUCCAGUAAUAUCACAUGUGGUACCAAGUUUGAAUUUGACAUGAUAAUUCUGAUUGAAUUAUUUAAGUCAUCAUUUUUUAUAAUAAUCUAUGCAUGAUCUUAUUGGUUGUAAUGGAGAAACAAAUUGAAUAUUGGGUAAGCAUUUGAAGUUUCCAUCACCAAAGUUAUCAUCCCUUCCAGCACCUCUACCUCUAUGCCCCUUGCCACCGUCAUAUAUAUCUUGUAAAUUAUCAUUGACCUUAUGGACAAGGCUAAUACGAUGGAGAUUGAUGAUCCUCAGAAAGCUCCAGAGCUUGAUCGAGAUAAACAAGAAGCUGCCGUGAAGCUCAUGGCCAACGGUGCAUGCACCCUUUGCAACAAGGGGAAGUUGCAUAUACAACCUUCUUUUUCUCUUGAUUAAUGAUUGUUGGUGUUUGAAUUAUAAAACUAGAAAUCAGUUUUAUGUUAUGAAAUUAUGCUUUUUUUUUUUUUAUGCGCAUAUGGUUAGCUCACCCUUAUUAUCCAGAAUAAUAAUUAUUCAUACUGGUCAGAUUUUGUUGUUCCCCCCUAUGUUUCAAAUGGUCUGAAUAUUUCUACCUGACGUGGAGUCAUCCAUAAAAGAUCCUUCUACUAGGUGCUUGUUCGUGUUUGACUUGAAGUCUCAUACUUUCAAUAUAAAUUUGAGAGAAUAUGUACAUGAAUGAACAACCAGUUUACUUUUGUCCCCAAAAGUGGAUGACUUUAUAUAAAAUCUCCAAGCUGAUAUGCUAGACAUUGUUUGUCAUAAGUGAACUAACAAAUCAAAAGAAAGCAGGAAGAACUCGCAAGUUUGAAUGUUACAUCUUUGGACAAUGUAUCAUUCGAACUAGAAGCUCAGUUUAAACACACACAAUGAAUUGGUCACCCCCCCCUCUUUUUCUGUGCUUUCUGAACUUCUUAAUGAAAUAUUUCAAAUUGUUUUGAAGAGUUCAAUUAUUCCAAGAAUUACUUCAAUGCAUUUUAGUGAUAUACUAAGUGAACUGGUUUUGCAAAAAAUUUAGAAGUCAUCUGUUAUUUUUUUGUUGAGCCUGACAUAUGGAUUUUAAGAAGGAAUAUGGACACCAUUUUUAAGUUCCAUCAUAUUUUUUCCUCUUUUUCACCUUUUCCUUCACAAAUUUACGGUAAGGGUCUUUCCAUUAUUGUCAAUAUUACAACAAAUGUCUACUAUUAGUCAUAACUGUCAAUAUUUUCAACUUCAUACAAUGAGAUUUUGCCUAAUGUCACUAUGAUUAUAGAUUAAGUUGUUCACAAAUUGCUUCAUGCUUAAAGAUAUUUCACCUCCAACAAUUUUCUCAUAGACUUCCAUUUGUGAUGCUUCAGUCAUAUGUUGAGGCUUACCUUUCAUUCAUGUUAUGAUCAAGGCACGUUGCUUUUUUUUUUUUCUCAUUCAGGGACAAAGAGAGUUAGAGCAUUGAUAUUUCACUUACUGGAAUUUGAGAAUCAGGUUCAAGUAUCCUUUCUUUGUUGAUUAUUUUGGUUACUCCUUUACUAGAAAGUAUCUAUGGUGGUUUCUCAAAUUUUAUCAUUGAAAAGUCUAGUGCUCUAAUUAAUUCUCUUUCUUGUCUAACUUCUCGCCUGCCCCUUAACAUUGUGUAAUUUUUUUAUCAAAUUAGUUAUAAUUACUAACAAAGAAUUGUGACUUCUAUUAGUCUUUCUGUUAUGUAAGAAAGAAAAAAAGAGAUCUUAUCAAAUUCUGGAUUGCAUUCUAGAUAUUGCUCUCCUAUUACAGAUCAUUCAUCAAUAAUAUUUUUAGACAUGUUUCGAUUCUUUUAGACUUUGUUUUUUCUCCUUUUGUUAUAUCAUUCAUCAAUAAUAACAUUUCAUAAUCUUUCGAACAAAUUAGUUGUCAUUACUCAUUACUAACAAAGAAUUGUGACUUCUAUUAGUCUCUCUGUUAUGUAAGAAAGCAAAAAAAAAACCUAUCAAAUUUUGGAAUUGCAUUUUAGAUACUGCUCUUUAUUACAGAUCAUUCAUUGAUAAUAUUUUUAGACACAUUUUGAUUCCUUUGGACUUUGUUUUUUCUCCUUUAUUUGAGUUUUCCACUUUGCACUAUUCUGGCUAUAUUUUCUGUAGCUGAUAUUUAACUAAUCGUUUCAUCAUUUUAAAACCAACAAUUUAUCAUAUUAAGAAUAUAGGUUUCCUACCUUGUUGGAUUUGCAUGUAAAGGUACUGAACAUAAUACCUUCGAUGUUGAUGAGUCACUUAAAGACUUCGCACAAUUAGCUGUUGGACUUUCAGUUGUUGGCUCCACUUCUCAAAAUUAUAUUUUUUUCCUUAUAUUUGAACAUGAGACAGUAAAUAGUUUCCUCAUUGCUCUAAGUAUGCAUUUCUAGAUGUCUAGAAUCUAGGAGUAUAUUAUUGCUUUGGCUGUCAGGAAUAUAGAAAUUCAGAAAAUAGAUCUUUCUGAGAUAAUUUUUUUUCCGCUGUUAUGUAGUCCAUUAUCUAAUCUUAUAUAGGAAAUAUUUUAUUGAUGUUAGUCAUCUAGUUUUACGUAACAUGCCAUAUUUAUUAAUUUGUGCAUCUCUGUGUAUUUGCCUCGUUCAAGAUUCAGAUUGUUCAUUAUACCAACAACAACAAGAAGUGAAGAUAUCAUGGGUAGCUACUAUCAUUUUCUAAAAUGCUGUAUGAUUGGUUAUAACCAUUAGGUAUCAUACAAUUUCAAUAGUGGUGAUUUAUAUUUAUUUACUCUCAAGUGUUGGUGCUAUCAGUUUCUUUGGUUAUGUUAAUGUUGCUCUAAGCUGGGAACUAGGUCAGAAUUAAAAAAAAAAAAUUGAAGAUAAUCUCAAGAAGUGAGAAAUCAUGAAGACAAAUGUCCAUCUUUAAAUAUUUUUGUGAUUUUAAAUGGAAUAUUAAAUGCAAAGCUACCUUUCUUGUGAUCUUAGAGUUCUCUCUUGGUGAUUGUUAUUUGUCAUAGCUUGAUAAGGAUUAGUGACCAGAUGACACUCACUUAAUAUGGGUUGUUUCCCUUUUAUUUUCAAAAUUUGCUAUCAAGUAGAAGCUAAUACACAAAUUCCAACGAUUUAUGACCUCUCCUCGACUUUGAUUGGUGUUUGUCUUGAUGAAAUUUGGGACUCAAUUGCUGAUGGUUUCAGUUUGGUCAUUUCUUAGAUGAUGGCGAUUGCAAUAUGUGGAUACAUAAUUAUGGGAUAGUAUCACUUGGUAGAAUGUCUUUUCUUUGAUUAUUAGCUCUUAUGUUGUGUAGAUUCAACUUCCAAUAGCAUUUUGUAGUGCUUGUGAGUAAGAUUUUAGUUAUGCUCGCUGAUCCAAAGUUUUUGUUUAGGCUCACUUAUCCAAAUCGAGAGAUUUACAUGGGCUCUUGAAAUGUUGCUGAAGUCAAGUCUACAAUUUUGUGCCCUUGAUGUUGGAACCAAGGUCCAUCUUCUCAAAGAAUUCGGACCGUCAUUUACAAGGACAAUUCUCCAGAGUGUUAGUUACAUAUGUUCUUUUGUUUCUUCUUUGCAUUUUGUUUUGUAAUAUUUUGUGUCAAACAUUGAAAUAAUUGUAGAUGGUGUGUUCCAUAUUACUUAAUAGAAAUUCUAUUGCUUUUUGGCUUUUCACGUGUUCAAAAGUGUUGCUUUCUUAGUUUAGAGGAUUCCACAAUAAGUUUAUGAAGAAACUAAUGUUAAUUAAAUUAUUUUUUCAUGCAUAUUAUGUGAAUGGAUAUGGUUUCUUAUCAAAUCAAUUUACACCUUGAUUUGGUAAUUUUGUACUUGAAUUGUUGGGUCUGUCUUCAAUAUUUGAUGAAAUUGUUAAAACUGAAGUAACCAGGCACAUGCAACCUACUGAUUACUUGAGCUUGUUUGGGGAAUAAUUCAAAUAAACCCAAGAUUAUUGGGAUGCUUCUUAUUUGAAUGUCUUGGAUAUAUCUGCAACGGAAGAAGGCAGUCCUCAUGUCUUAUUUGGAUGUGCUUCACAAGUAUGUUCUAAAUGAUUACCUACCCUAUAAUGUUUCUUAAACUAAUUAUCCUAUUUUUUUCCUAUUGGAAUAACUUUUAGCCACCAGGAGUCUGCUUCUGUAACUAAAUUGUCGAGUGCUUACAUUCUUUUAUAAUGAAUAGAUAGCCUCUCCUGUUCUGCAAAUUGGCUGACAGUAAUUCAAAAUUUUGAUCCCUAUUACCACUUAUACAAGCACUGUUUCCAGGUGAAAGGUCUCUGUUUUAAGUUAAAACUUUAAACACCUUUUACAACUUUAUAUAUUAAUUAAUUUGGAUGGAUUCUAAUUUCCUUUCAUUUGAUGGCACUUCUUCCUCCAAUUAGCCUCCUAAAUCAAGUUGAUGAUAGUUUUUCACAGUGGAAACAUCCUUCUGUCCAGCAUGCUCUCUCUCUGGUUCAGCAAUGAUGCAUUUGGGUGAUAUACGUUAUAUGCAUUUGUAUUUUUAUCAAAAGUCUUAACAAUUCAUAUUAAUUUGUUGUUGCAGAUAAUAACAAUGUCAUCGUCAUCUUCUUCAUGCUUGUGCGGGCUAUCUGUCUUCAUUCUUAUCAUCUCGUGUUUGUUGGUUUCAUACCAAGUUUAAUUAUAAAUAGACAACUUACUUUUUGGCUUUCUAAGUAAGCAUUUAUUUUUCAAUCUUCAGCAGCAUGUGUAUUUGAUUGAUUUAUGCUUUGGACCAUUAUCACCAUGGAUAUAUACAAUUACUGCAAAGGUUUCAUCUUUUCCCAUAAUAAGUCUACAUAUUAAGUCAACAACUUGUAUUUUUGUAACUGCAUCGACCCUUUUUCAGGUUGAUCUUGCAAUUGAACUUCUGGAGGACCUCUUCGUGUUAUUCAAGCAUUGGAAAUAUCACAAGUCGACAUUGAAUCUGAUGUGGCAACAUUGAUUAGGCAGAAUCAACCAUUGCUUUGCCACUUUGCAAUCCUCCUACAGAGUCUCCCCUCUUUCUACUGCAUUCUGCAACUGAGUUAUCCUGUUCUGUAGAGAAUGUAAAUGACAUUAUACUGCAGUCAGCUGCAAAUCUUAGUGGACAACUUACAACUUUGUACACCCAACUGAAAGCAAGCAACAUACAGCUUGAAAUGGAAAAGCUACAUGGGCUGCGAAGGUGUUGGGCACUUCUUGAAAGAUUAAUAAUAACAUCUUCUGGAAAUGAUGAACGGACA
Long non-coding RNA from Musa acuminata AAA Group (dessert banana), 8519 nucleotides. RefSeq lists it as uncharacterized. The transcript is spliced from 3 exons. The record is from RefSeq and is a predicted model, not a curated record. Lineage: Eukaryota; Viridiplantae; Streptophyta; Magnoliopsida; Zingiberales; Musaceae.